CCAUGUUGUUUCUGAUUCUGGUUUUCUGAAAUCUGGGCCUUUAUUUGAUUCAGGCAAACAAUGAAUGGACCAGCUACAUGUUUAGGACUUUACAGUAAUAAUAAACCAGAUGUGUGUGUGUGUGUGUAUGUGUGUGUGUUUUCUGCAGGGUCUCAGUCCUGACUGAGGGACAGGGACAAUCUGUCCCCCCGCUCCGCCUCGGCUGCCAGGACGGAUCCACGGUCAGGUGUGAACGGCCGUCACUGCUGCCGUCUCCCACUUUCACACGAACUGUACGAGUUUUCACACACUGCUGGUCAGCAGCGGGUCCGUCAGCAGAUUGCAGCUGAUCUGGGAGGACAGAUGUUGCUGGAUUGGCAGCUGCAGGUCUGGUUGAGAUUUGGACCAGCAGUGACGGCGCGGGGAGCGGAGACGGUUUGUGGAUCAUCAGUCGGACGCAGCGGUGAAACCGAACCCUGCAGACACCCAACACCCGAGAGAGGAAACUCCACAGUGGGUCUGCUGUCGACCCGGAGAGCUUCAGGCUGGAGUUCUGCUCUACAUCAACCAGAACCGGUUGCCUAGCAACGGAGACCUUUGAGGACAUCAGAUCCUGAUGUGACCCAACAUGAUCAUGAGUUUGACUGGGACCAGUAACUCCAGUAACUCCAGUAACUCCAGUAACUUCACACUCCAGGGUUACUUGUGGAGUACCACAAGGUUCUGUGCUUGGCCCA
Xiphophorus maculatus (southern platyfish) is the source of this 716-nucleotide long non-coding RNA. RefSeq lists it as uncharacterized. NCBI's taxonomy places the organism in Eukaryota, Metazoa, Chordata, Actinopteri, Cyprinodontiformes, Poeciliidae. The transcript is spliced from 3 exons. The record is from RefSeq and is a predicted model, not a curated record.